UAAAUUUUUUCAAAAGGAGUGAGAUAAAAAUGCAGAAAAACUGUGGAUAGAAAUUUCCUUAUGUUUGAUCUGGCCUGGCUUACUGUGGAGUUGGUUUUUUUUUUUUUUUUUGUUUUUUCCUUCCUGCUUGGGAGAGAUGAAAAAUUGUGCCCCUUAAUUUUCCAGUUUUCUUUUUCCCAAUGUUUGUCCAUAAUUAUAGCUACAGAUUUCUGCUUGAGGACACAUGCAGAUGUUUUGUUUCAUUUUCUUCAUAAUAAACUGGUCUGUUGGCCUAGAAUAAAAGGUGCCUUAUAACAAAGUUGAGGAGGUAAUGCAUUCUGCACCCUUUUUUUGAUCCCUUUUUUGAGGGAUCCAGGUUGCUUGAAAGUUUAUGUAACACAAACAACCUCGUGAGAAGCCUGUAUCUUCAGUGGAUAAUACCUGCUUUUUCUCUAAGUUUUCUUGUUAUUUAUGUUAAAAGUUUGGCAGUAGAUGGCUUGGACUUAGAGGAUAAUACAUGCAGAAGAAGUCCUCUAUACUCUGCCCUUGUGAGGCCCCAUCUGGAGUACUGUGUCAAGAUCUGAGGCCACCAAUACAGGAAAGAUGUGGAGCUGUUGGAGAGGGUCCAGAGGAAGGACAUGAAGAUGAUCAGAGGGCUGGAGCAUCUCCCUAUGAAGACAGGCUGAGGGAGCUGGGUUUUUUUCAGCCAGGAGAAGAGAAGGCUGUAAGGGGAUGUCAUUGCCCUUUCCAGUAUUUGAAAGGGGAUUAUAAACAGACAAGGAAUCAACAUUUUACUGAAUGGUUUUAAGGUAAAAAAGGGAAGGUUUAGAUUGGAUAUUAUGGAGAAGUUCUUUACUGAGAGAUCAGUGAGGUGCUGGAACAGGCUGCCCAAAGAGGUUGCGGAUGCUCUGUUCCUGGAGGUGCUCAAGACCAGAUUGGAUGGGGCCCUGGGCAGCCUGGUCUAAUACCAGAUCUGCAGAUUGGUGGCCCUGCCUUUGUUAGGAGGGUUGGAACUUGAUGAUCCUUGGAGUCCCUUCCAACCCAAGUCAUUCUAUGUUUCUGUGAUUCUAUGAAGUAAUAGAUUUUUACAUACUCAGAUCUGUGAUUUGGACCUUUAGAAUCUAGACAAUUUCUUAAUUGUUAAAAGAAUAUGAACUUUGCAAAGACAAGUUGAAAAAGAAAGUUUGCUAUUUAAAACUUCAGCAUGUGGUAUUUUGUAUGAAAUAUCACCAGUGAUAUUUUUGUGUAGUCUUGCUGAUUGUUGGGAUAAUGGAUAAAAAGGCCAAAAAUUCAGCAUAGUGCUUUAAUAAGCUUGAAAUCAUUUGCUUCAUAGAGGGAUUGUGGUAAAUAUACUUCUUAACUUACGAAGUGUUAGUAGAACAGUGGGACAUGUGCUGAGACUAAAGACUUGUAUUAAUUAGGUAGCAUAUGCCUUGGCAGUAGAGAUUGUUGAGGUAAAUAUCACUGGAGCCCAGAGACAAAAGUCUGUAAAACUUCAGCAACUCUGUGACUCUUCCAGAAUCUGCAUAUGUCAGAAAAUGAUAAUAUUUACCAGGUAUUCAAUCCAGUAAGCAAUCACAGCAGUAGUGACUCAGUCACUGCCUUACAGUGUUGUAUGGCUGGAUACCCAAGUAGGUCAGCAUUGCAUGUCUAGCAUGCUCUGCAGGUUCCUUCUGCAGAUAAAAGCUGGGAUUUCCCAGCAUCUCUAGCAACUCCCUGUUCUACUGGCUACAUUAUGAACCUUUAACACCAGAGUCCCUGUGAGUCUUCUGGUGAUCUGUGUGCAGCUUCAGAUCUGCAUAUUAGGAGCCUCAGUACUGCAGGAAUCCAGAAAUGAUUGUAAAUGCAAGUUAGGAAGCGUAGAAUUAGUUUCUCCUUCGUGUUCAGAAGGAAACACUUAAAUGUUACCAAAAAGGUAGUGUAAUUGAGCUUAAGUUAAAUAAGACAAAAGCCAUAGACACUUUCAAAAGUGAUCCUAGUAAGUGCUUCUUCUUGCUAGCUUACUCAAGUUGUGCAGUCUUACUUCCUUUCCAUAUCUCUAAGGCAGGAACUCAGUGGAAAAUUCCAGCUGCAUAAAAGAAUGAAUGUUUUUAUUUGGUGGGCUGAACCUGCUGAAAUGGGUACUGACUCAAAUACACAGCACUGAUACGCAGGAAGGGGGCAAAAGUAGAUGAAUGGGUAGAACAGGAGGAUGGUAUUGCAGCUGAUUUGAUUUAGACAGGCUCAGAAUAUGUCUCCUAAGAACCAAAUUCUAAGCUAGUGUAAUGAUAAUUCUACUGUUCACUGGAGUGGUUUCUUUCAGCCUUGGUCGUGCUGCUCGUCUUUGGGCUUCCUUUCACGCCUUGCAUGAACUCAUCUAACACAAAAAAAAAGGUUGACCUAAUACUCUACUCUUUUUUAGGAUCUGGCAUUUGUGGAAGUUGAAUGGACUAGUGCAGUCAAACACUAUCAACUCUGCUCAACUGAUUAACAGGUUUCUGCUGGAAUAGCUCUGUGCAUUUUGUAGUAACAGAAUUGCUACCUCUAAUGCUCAGAGCAGAGAACAAGUCUCUUCUUUUAGCCAAUGUCUCAUAUUUAGGUGAAUAUAAGUAAACAUUCAAAGCGUGCUUUAAAGCACAAAUUCUCUUAUGGGCAGGAUAUUUGAUAGCAUCAAUUUAAUUUUGUUUUGUUUUUGUUUGGUGUGUUCCUUUGAAGCAUUUGCUGUUUGCUGCUGUAAGGAAAACACUAAGUUAUUAAAUUAGAUUGCUUGUACUCUAGUCUAGUUUAGCAGUUCCUGUAUUAAUUUGAAAAAAGUAGUAGUAGGCAAUUUAUCAAAUUUAGUGUGACAUUUUCAGACACACAUCUUAAAUCCUGUUAAAAUGUGUAAUUUUGAAAUUCAUAUUUGUUUGCUAGCGUAGUGGUACCCACAGUCUUGGGGAAUUCAGAUCUAGAAGGACCAAAGCUUGUGAAGAGUAGUAUGUGGUAAAUGUGUUAAAUCCAGCUGGCGCCCAGUCACAAAUGGAGCUCACCGGGGGUCAGUAUUUGGGCCUUCCUGUUUCAUAUUCUUGUUGAUGACCUGUACCCUCAGUAAUUUUGCAGAUGACAGUAAACUGGGAGGAAGAAUUGAUCUGCCUGGGGGUAGGAAUGUCAUCCAGAGGGAUCUGGACACUCUGGAUUGCUGGGCUGAGGUGAUGGUAUCAAAAAUGGUGUUGCUAGUGGGAGCAGGGAAGUGAUCAUCCCCCUGUGCUUAGCUCUGAUGAGGCUGCAUGUUGAGUACUGUAUUCAGUUUGGAGCCUAUCACUGCAAGAAAGACACCAAGGCGAUGGUGUCCAGAGAAGCACAACAAAAUGGGUUAGGGGUCUGGAGAGCAAGUCUUAUGAGGAGUGGCUGAGAGAACUGGGAUUGUUCAGUCUGGAGAAGAAAAGGCUCAGGGGGAAUGCUUAUUGCUCUAACUACCUGAAUGGAGAUUGUGGUGAGGUGGCCUCAAUAGACAAAGAUGAUCGGCCUUUUCUCCUGCAUAACUAGUGGUAGGACUAGAGGGAAUGGCCUCAGGUUGCACCAGGAGAGGUUCCGGUUGCAUAUUAGGAAAAAUUUAUUCUCCAAAAGAGUAGUCGAGCACUGGAAUACCAGUGUCCAGGGAGAUGGUGGAGUCACCAUCCCUGGAGAUACUCAAGAAAUGUUUAGAUGCACUGAGGGACCUAGUUUAGUGGGAAAUACUGGUCUUAGGUGGAUGUUUGAUUUAGAUUUUGGAGGUCUCUUGCAACCUUGGUGAUUCUAUAAGUGAAUUGGAGUGGAGGAAACCUAUAGAGAAUAAGCAUGGAUGUUACUGGGAAAGAGACAAAAUUGAUUCAGUGGUUGUCUUCUCUUUCUGAGUAGAAUGCUCUUUCUCUUGUCACUCGUGGGACUUGGCUGAAAUGUUCUCCACAGACAUACCUUAUCUGAAGAGAAGCAGAUUUUAAGAACUGAUGGCUGAUGAAGUACUGCCUAGCAGUCCCUUGGCACUUGAUAGUCCAGAAGUGUACCUUACUGUAGGAGUGUUUCCUGCACUGUGCAGCAAAUUGCUCUGGGAGUGAUGCAGCAGAGGCAAGUGGCCUUGGCAAGGUGCCUUGUUGAGCACUGCAGAGUUGGCCUGUUUCCUGCUACGAACAACAGCCACAGCAACCAUUACUUCCACUGCAGACUUGAAAAAUUGGUUUGUAACCAGAGGAGGGCCACAAAAAUGAUCCAAGGAAUGAAACACCUCUCCUGUGAGGACAGGCUGAGAGAACUGGGGCUGUUCAGCCUGGAAAAGAGAAGGCUCUGAGCAUGCGCAGGCUGGCAUGCUCAGCUGUCACACCACAGAAUGAAGAGCAUCUUGAUCUGCUUCAUCAUGUGAAUCAAAAUAUUAUGACCAGAGAACUUGUACAGAGCUGAAUACGAGCCUCAGUGCAUUAGAAACAAUGGUGGCAACAUUGGAAUAUUGCAGUUUGUGCCAGGUGGGUCCCACAGAUAUUCAUGUAGGAAAAGAAAAAAAACAGUGUAUGCAAGUUUGUCAGGACCAAUAUGAGGCUAAGGGUGACUGUUUUCCAGAUCACACCAUUACUGGUGAUGAGAUGUGCGGCCACCACUAUGAGCUGGAAUCAAAACUGCAGUCCAUGGAGUGGUGACAUGUGAAUUCCUCAUUGAAUAAAGAAGUUCAAGACGUACUAUGAUGUGCACUGUCGUUUGGGAUGAGAAAGAGGUGAUCUUUCCAGACUUCCUGGAACCUGGACAGACUGUCAACUGUGACCUCGACAUCAUGAUGCUGACUAAGCCGAAGGCUCCAACUUCCAGAGUCAGUCCAGAGAAGAAAACAUGAGAGCUCCAGUGCCCAUACCAUUUUGAAGACUGUAGACACAUUGUGAAUCUUGGCCGGACUGCCCUACCAUACUCAUCACGUAGUCCAGAUUUAGUGCCUUCUGACUUCCAUCUGUUUGGGCUGAUGAAAGAUGGACUGCAUCACCAACAUUUUACUAACAGUGAUGCCUUUGUAGCAGCUGUGAAACAGUAGGUCACCUCCACUAGUGCAUAUUUUUGAAUGUUGCGUGCAGGCUCUUGUUCACGGCUGGGGGAAAUACAUAGAUACUGGCAGUGACUAUGUUGGAAAACAGUAUUUUGAAGCUGAGAAUAUGCUCUGUGAGAUAGUGUUAUUGUGCUUUUACAUCUGCUGUGGUUCCUUGGAAAUAAACAGGAGGCAUUACUUUGAGAGUGA
This is a long non-coding RNA of Tympanuchus pallidicinctus (lesser prairie-chicken), 5188 nucleotides long. RefSeq lists it as uncharacterized. NCBI's taxonomy places the organism in Eukaryota, Metazoa, Chordata, Aves, Galliformes, Phasianidae. The transcript is spliced from 3 exons. The record is from RefSeq and is a predicted model, not a curated record.